RNAcentral lists this ribosomal RNA (253 nucleotides) under uncultured bacterium. RNAcentral describes it as "partial 16S ribosomal RNA". It matches the Rfam family "Bacterial small subunit ribosomal RNA", at positions 524 to 776 of the family's 1533-position model. The record is from RNAcentral.
UACAGAGGGGGCAAGCGUUGUUCGGAAUUACUGGGCGUAAAGGGCGCGUAGGCGGCCUGUUAAGUCGGACGUGAAAUCCCUCGGCUCAACCGGGGAACUGCGUCCGAUACUGGCGGGCUUGAAUUCGGGAGAGGGAUGUGGAAUUCCAGGUGUAGCGGUGAAAUGCGUAGAUAUCUGGAGGAACACCAAUGGCGAAGGCAGCUCUCUGGGACGGUACUGACGCUGAGACGCGAAAGCGUGGGGAGCGAACAGG